UACGGAGGGGACUAGCGUUGUUCGGAAUUACUGGGCGUAAAGCGCGCGUAGGCGGAUUUGCAAGUCGGGGGUGAAAGCCCGAGGCUCAACCUCGGAACUGCCCUCGAUACUGCAAAUCUCGAGUCCGAGAGAGGUGAGUGGAAUUCCUAGUGUAGAGGUGAAAUGCGCAGAUAUCGGGAGGAACACCGGUGGCGAAAGCGCUCAUCUGGCCCAAUACUGACGCUGAGGCGCGAAAGCUAGGGGAGCAAACGGG
This 253-nucleotide ribosomal RNA is filed under the name uncultured bacterium. RNAcentral describes it as "partial 16S ribosomal RNA". It matches the Rfam family "Bacterial small subunit ribosomal RNA", at positions 524 to 776 of the family's 1533-position model. The record is from RNAcentral.